RNAcentral lists this ribosomal RNA (460 nucleotides) under uncultured bacterium. RNAcentral describes it as "partial 16S ribosomal RNA". It matches the Rfam family "Bacterial small subunit ribosomal RNA", at positions 338 to 795 of the family's 1533-position model. The record is from RNAcentral.
CCUACGGGUGGCAGCAGUGAGGAAUAUUGGUCAAUGGUCGGGAGACUGAACCAGCCAAGCCGCGUGAGGGAUGAAGGUACAGCGUAUCGUAAACCUCUUUUGUCAGGGAACAAAGGCGGGGACGCGUCCCCGGAUGAGUGUACCUGAAGAAAAAGCAUCGGCUAACUCCGUGCCAGCAGCCGCGGUAAUACGGAGGAUGCGAGCGUUACUCGGAAUUAUUGGGCGUAAAGGGCGCGUCGGCGGGGUAGCAAGUCAGAUGUGAAAUGCUAUGGCUUAACCAUAGCACUGCAGUUGAAACUGGGGGGCUAGAGUAUGGGAGAGGUAGGUGGAAUGCUUGGUGUAGGGGUGAAAUGCGUAGAGAUCAAGAAGAAUACUGAUUGCGAAGGCAGCCUGCUGGAGCCUAACUGACGCUGAUGCGCGAAAGUGUGGGGAGCGAACAGGAUUAGAUACCCGGGUAGUC